This 253-nucleotide ribosomal RNA is filed under the name uncultured bacterium. RNAcentral describes it as "partial 16S ribosomal RNA". It matches the Rfam family "Bacterial small subunit ribosomal RNA", at positions 524 to 776 of the family's 1533-position model. The record is from RNAcentral.
UACAGAGGUCCCAAGCGUUGUUCGGAUUCACUGGGCGUAAAGGGAGCGUAGGUGGAUAUUUAAGUGGGAUGUGAAAUACUCGGGCUUAACCUGAGUGCUGCAUUCCAAACUGGAUAUCUAGAGUGCAGGAGAGGAAAGUAGAAUUCCUAGUGUAGCGGUGAAAUGCGUAGAGAUUAGGAAGAAUACCAGUGGCGAAGGCGACUUUCUGGACUGUAACUGACACUGAGGCUCGAAAGCGUGGGGAGCAAACAGG